CUGAGUAUCUUACUCUCUAAACCCAUGUGAACCUUACCACUGUUGCCUCGGUGGUUGGCUGUUCGGUGGACUCUUCGGGGUCCCUGUGCGGCUAUAGCCACCGGUGGACCAACUAAACUCUUGUUUUAUAGUGUCUCUCUGAGUAACUACAAAAAUAAAUCA
This 162-nucleotide unclassified non-coding RNA is filed under the name uncultured Sordariomycetes. RNAcentral describes it as "sequence contains ITS1". Lineage: Eukaryota; Fungi; Ascomycota; Sordariomycetes. The record is from RNAcentral.